Molecule: long non-coding RNA, 268 nt
Filed under: Phoenix dactylifera (date palm)
Lineage: Eukaryota; Viridiplantae; Streptophyta; Magnoliopsida; Arecales; Arecaceae
Description: long non-coding RNA (PDAC_LNC017885)
Source: RNAcentral
GAGAGUGAGUAUAUGAAUACUCAGUGAGUGGAGUAGAGAGUACUAUGCACAUGAGACAGAAUAUAAUCAUGGCUCGAGAUGAAAUCUCAAGAUCAAUAACAAGAUGAACAUGAUCUCAACAUAGAGAAUAUGGAGUAAAUCAUCAAUAUCACCACAAUCAAUAUCAACUCAUUUGAAGCAUAUAUGGAAAUCAAGUAAACAUAUAUGCUACUCAUGAAUAUGCUCAACAGAUCAUAAUGCUGGAACAUACAAAUCAGGUGUCAAUAUG